UACGAAGGGUGCAACGUUACUCGGAAUCACUGGGCGUAAAGCGUGCGUAGGCGGUUCGUUAAGUCUGCUGUGAAAGCCCUGGGCUCAACCUGGGAACUGCAGUGGAUACUGGCGGACUAGAGUGUGAUAGAGAUGGUGGAAUUCCCGGUGUAGCGGUGAAAUGCGUAGAGAUCGGGAGGAACACCAGUGGCGAAGGCGGCCAUCUGGAUCAACACUGACGCUAGGCACGAAAAGCGUGGGGAGCAAACAGG
Molecule: ribosomal RNA, 251 nt
Filed under: uncultured bacterium
Lineage: Bacteria
Description: partial 16S ribosomal RNA
Rfam family: Bacterial small subunit ribosomal RNA
Source: RNAcentral